UAGGGAAUCUUCGGCAAUGGACGGAAGUCUGACCGAGCAACGCCGCGUGAGUGAAGAAGGUUUUCGGAUCGUAAAGCUCUGUUGUAAGAGAAGAACGAGUGUGAGAGUGGAAAGUUCACACUGUGACGGUAUCUUACCAGAAAGGGACGGCUAACUACGUGCCAGCAGCCGCGGUAAUACGUAGGUCCCGAGCGUUGUCCGGAUUUAUUGGGCGUAAAGCGAGCGCAGGCGGUUGCUUAGGUCUGAUGUGAAAGCCUUCGGCUUAACCGAAGAAGUGCAUCGGAAACCGGGCGACUUGAGUGCAGAAGAGGACAGUGGAACUCCAUGUGUAGCGGUGGAAUGCGUAGAUAUAUGGAAGAACACCAGUGGCGAAGGCGGCUGUCUGGUCUGCAACUGACGCUGAGGCUCGAAAGCAUGGGUAGCGAACAGGAUUAGAUACCCUGGUAGUCCAUGCCGUAAACGAUGAGUGCUAGGUGUUGGAGGGUUUCCGCCCUUCAGUGCCGAAGCUAACGCAUUAAGCACUCCGCCUGGGGAGUACGACCGCAAGGUUG
Molecule: ribosomal RNA, 551 nt
Filed under: uncultured bacterium
Lineage: Bacteria
Description: bacterial SSU rRNA
Rfam family: Bacterial small subunit ribosomal RNA
Source: RNAcentral